RNAcentral lists this long non-coding RNA (587 nucleotides) under Bos taurus (domestic cattle). RNAcentral describes it as "long non-coding RNA NONBTAT000193". The record is from RNAcentral. Lineage: Eukaryota; Metazoa; Chordata; Mammalia; Artiodactyla; Bovidae.
AAUGUGUUGGAUAUAGACUUUCCUUCACCAUAAUUAUAACCUUUAAAAAUUUACCAGUAUUUUAGUAUAUAAUAUUUUUAUGAAAUUUUCCUGGUAAAAAUUUUUCCUUGAUAAACAGCUGAUUUUACAGAGUGUAGUUGUUAGAAAUUGACAUCAUAGAAAAAAACACAGAACUGUCAUAAAAAUCUGCCUAUAUUUAGUUUGUUUCUACUUCUGAAGUACUCCUAGUUGUUGUAGCUUACGUAAUUAAAGGAAAGCAUAUUAACAAAGGCUACAGCUUGCAAAUUCAAAGCAGGUUAUUAUUAUUUAUUCUGCUCCCAGCGAUUGCACACAUUUGACCCUAAAUGACAAAGUAAAUGAAAGCCCUUUUUCAAAGUAAUACAAUCAGUUCAAAAAAUAUUGUGCUAAUAAAGUUAUACAUUCUAAUUGAAAGAUUGAUGGCAAUCCAUUUAGUUGUUACUAGGUUAUUUGUGACAGACAGAUGCAGAGUAACCUCAUUACAGUCAGAAUUGUGAUGACUUGUAGCUGAAGAGAGGAAUAAAGCUUUAAACCAUUGUCACAGUCCAUUUCCAAAAUGUAUGCGGAAG